UCUAGGCUAUCCUGCUAAUAAAAGAGCAGAGCUGCUACUAUAGGGCCUACCUUACCCUAAUAAUUAGGCCUAUAUUAGCUGCUAGGCUAUUAAGAAGUAAGAUUACUAAUCUAACGUUAGUAAUAUUAAUUACUAUAUAGUUAUCUAUUCUGCUAUUAAUAGUAAUAAUAUUAUAUAGAGAGUUCCCUCUAUACUGCUUAAUAAUAGAGCUUAUCUAAGCUAUUAUAAACUAUUUUAUAACCUCUAAGAGGUUAUAAUUAAGAGGGGUGCUUAGUUUAAAGGGGUUAUCUAGGUUAAGCGUAGGCAUAACUAAGUAGAAUAAGGAGUUAAUAAGAUUAGACUUAAUAAGAUUAGAAAGGAGGAUUUAAUUUAGUUACUUUAGUAGGUUUUAGGAUAAUUUGUCUAAACUAUAGGUUUAGUAGGUUAUAGGUAUAGUUAAUAAGAGAAUCCUAGAUUCUAUCUUAGCUGACUAUAUAUACCUAAUAAGCCUGCCUCUUAAGGUUAAAUACCUCUAUAGUUAAGAGUUCUUAACCUUAGUAGUAUAGACCUUAAGAGCAAAGCUAUCUCUAGUAAGUUAAUCUAGUAUUAAGACUAUACUAACCCCUAUAGUACUAUAUAUUCUUAAAUAAGCUACCUUACUAAGUUAAUAGCAUAAGAAUAAGGUAUAGUGCUUAUAUUAGGCUAACUGCUGUUGUUUUUUUUAUAUUAUAUAACUAAUCUUAACUAUAGGAUCUAAUUAGUUCUACGCUAGUUUAAUUAGCGGUCUUAAAUAGAACUUCUAUAAAAAGAAUACUAACGUAAUAGUUAUUAGUAACCUAUCUUAAAAUAUAGACUAAGGAGUUAACCUUAUAUAUAAGUGUUUAGAUAUUAAACCCCUAUACGUAAUAAAAGUAAAUAUAGGUAAGAGCUUUAGUAUAUUAUUAACUAAUCCUAAUGUUCUUAGAUAGAUUUAAGUAAGAGUAUAUAGGGUUAGACCUAAAAGAAGGUAAACUAUACGUAUGUAGGGUAAAGCUAGAGGAAACUCUAGUAGAGGCUUAUAGCAGUUCUAACAUAUAAAUUAAUUAUUAAAUAUACAUAUAGGGGUAAAAGACUAAUUAAACCUUCUAGUAGCUAGUUUCUACUAAAGUUUCCUUUAGGAUAGUAGUGUUAAACUUAGUUUUAUAAGGUAAAGUAAAUAAUUAGGGACUUAGGGGCGCUAUAUUACCUUUAUUUAUUCUUAAACUUUAAAUAUAUAAGAAGCCCUUAUUACUUAAUUAAAUAUAGGUAUUUAAAUAUAUUAACACUAGUAGGCUAUUUUUAGUAAGUAGAACUAGUAAUAUAGGAUAAACUAAACGUAAGGUUAAGGUGCUAAAGUAGUUACUUAUUAGAUACUACAAAAGGUAUUAGUAUAUCUUAAUAGUAAGAUAGUAGCUAUAGAAGUUAGAAUCUACUAAGGACUAUAUAAUAACUUACCUACUAAAUAUACUAGCCCUAAAAAUAGAUAGCGCUUAAGCAACUUACCUAUAUCUUACCCUUAGCGUAGAAAUAAUACGCUAAGGAGUAGGCAGACGUAGAGGUUAGUAAUAAAGCCUAGGGCGUAAGCCUAGGUAGAACAGCCUCUAGUGUAGAUCUUAGUAGUAGUAGUAAAUACUUUAAUAAGAACUUAAAGGACUAAAGUAGGGAAAGGUUCUAUAUAAAUAGCAGUUAGAUAUAGGUUAGUUAAUCCUAAGCUAUAGGGAAGUUCUAUUUUAAAGGGGCACUGAUACCCUAUAUAGCAAAAGGGAAGCUAGUUAAUAUUCUAGCACCUAGAUGUAGGUUUUGCGUAGUAACGUAACUAAACGUAGAGAUAAUAGUAGGGGCCUUAGGCAGAGUUCUUUUUUCUUCUUAACAGUCUAUUACCUUAAAAUUAGUUUGUCUAGAGCUAGGGUUUAACAGCUAGAAGAGCCUAGCACUUCUGUUAGGUCUAGUGCGCUCUUAAUAUCCCUUAAAAAUCUACAGGAAGGAAUAAUUCUUACGCUAGGUUAUACUUAUAACUGCAGCAGGUCUCUAAGGUAAACAGCCUCUAGUUAAUAGAACAAUAUAGAUAAAGGAAGUUAGUAAAACAGAUCUAUAACUUUAGGAUAAGGAUUAGCUCUAAGGGUUAGGUAUAUUAGGCUUUAGGCAGACAGCUUAGGAGUAGGUUACUACUAGCUAGGUAACUAGCUAGAGGCUUCUAGCAUCUAGGUUUUAACGCCUUUAGUAGGCUUUAGCUGUCUAGUGUACAGUUAAUAACUAACUUAGAACUAGUACAGAUAAGGGGAAUCUAACUGUCUAAUUAAAACAUAGUAUUAUAAUAGCUAGAAAGUAGUGUUAAUAUAAUGUAAUUUCUGCCUAGUGCUCUAAAUAUUAAAGUAAAGUAAUUUAACUAAGCGUAGGUAAACAGCAGGAGUAACUAUAACUCUCUUAAGGUAGCUAAAUACCUUAUUAUCUAAUUAGUAACGUAUAUAAAUAGAUUAAUAAGAUUCCUACUGUCCUUAUCUACUAUCUAGUAAAACUAUAGCUAAGGGAACAGGCUUAGCAGAAUCAGUAGGGAAAGAAGACCUUAUUAAGCUUAACUCUAGUUUAAUAUUAUAAAAAGAUAUAGGAGGUGUAGAAUAGGUAGGAGCUUUAGCGCUAGUGAAAUACUACUACUCCUAUUGUUUUUUUACUUAUUUAAUAAAGCAGGGCUAGAUUUAUAUCUAACUUCUAGUUUUAAGGUCCUUUAUAGGCUAACCUAAGUUAAAGACAUUAUUAGGUAGGGAGUUUAGCUAGGGCAGUAUAUCUAUUAAACUAUAACGUAGGUGUCCUAAGGGGGGCUUAUAGAGAAUAGAAAUCUCUAGUAGAACAAAAAGGUAAAAGCCCUCUUAAUUUUAAUUUUUAGUGUAAAUAUAAACUAUAAAAGUGUAGCCUAUUAAUCCUUUAGUCUCUUAAAAUUUAAGGCUAGAGGUGCUAGAAAAGUUACUAUAGGGAUAACUAGCUUAUAGCAGCUAAGCGUUUAUAGUGACGUUACUUUUUAAUCCUUUAAUGUUAGCUUUUCCUAUUAUACUAAAGCAGAAUUUAGUAAGUAUUAGAUUGUUUACUUACUAAUAGGGAACGUAAGCUAGGUUUAGACUGUUAUAAGAUAGGUUAGUUUUACCUUACUAAUAACCUUAUUGUAAUAGUAAUUAAGCUUAGUAUAAGAGGAACUACUUAUUUAGAUAAUUAGUUUUUAUAGCUGUCUAACUAGGUAGUGCUGCAACGCUACUAUCUGCUAGAUAAUAGCUAAACGCCUCUAAGUUAGAAUCUAUACUAGAACGUAAUAAUACCUCCUACACGUAUAGAUAGAUAUAAAUAGGCUUUAGCUUAGCGUCUUAGUAGGUAAUUACUUUACUGCUCUUAAAGUAAGUAGUAGUAUUU
This 3393-nucleotide ribosomal RNA is filed under the name Colletotrichum lentis. RNAcentral describes it as "eukaryotic LSU rRNA". The stretch from base 452 to 3393 matches the Rfam family "Eukaryotic large subunit ribosomal RNA". The record is from RNAcentral. Lineage: Eukaryota; Fungi; Ascomycota; Sordariomycetes; Glomerellales; Glomerellaceae.